CUGGAGGUAUCAGAAGUGCGAAUGCUGACAUAAGUAACGAUAAAGCGGGUGAAAAGCCCGCUCGCCGGAAGACCAAGGGUUCCUGUCCAACGUUAAUCGGGGCAGGGUGAGUCGACCCCUAAGGCGAGGCCGAAAGGCGUAGUCGAUGGGAAACGGGUUAAUAUUCCCGUACUUGGUGUUACUGCGAAGGGGGGACGGAGAAGGCUAUGUUGGCCGGGCGACGGUUGUCCCGGUUUAAGCGUGUAGGUGUGUGUUCCAGGUAAAUCCGGUUCACUUUAACACUGAGGCGUGAUGACGAGGCACUACGGUGCUGAAGCAACAAAUGCCCUGCUUCCAGGAAAAGCCUCUAAGCAUCAGGUAACAUCAAAUCGUACCCCAAACCGACACAGGUGGUCAGGUAGAGAAUACCAAGGCGCUUGAGAGAACUCGGGUGAAGGAACUAGGCAAAAUGGUGCCGUAACUUCGGGAGAAGGCACGCUGACACGUAGGUGAAGUGAUUUACUCAUGGAGCUGAAGUCAGUCGAAGAUACCAGCUGGCUGCAACUGUUUAUUAAAAACACAGCACUGUGCAAACACGAAAGUGGACGUAUACGGUGUGACGCCUGCCCGGUGCCGGAAGGUUAAUUGAUGGGGUCAGCGCAAGCGAAGCUCCUGAUCGAAGCCCCGGUAAACGGCGGCCGUAACUAUAACGGUCCUAAGGUAGCGAAAUUCCUUGUCGGGUAAGUUCCGACCUGCACGAAUGGCGUAAUGAUGGCCAGGCUGUCUCCACCCGAGACUCAGUGAAAUUGAACUCGCUGUGAAGAUGCAGUGUACCCGCGGCAAGACGGAAAGACCCCGUGAACCUUUACUAUAGCUUGACACUGAACAUUGAGCCUUGAUGUGUAGGAUAGGUGGGAGGCUUUGAAGUGUGGACGCCAGUCUGCAUGGAGCCGACCUUGAAAUACCACCCUUUAAUGUUUGAUGUUCUAACGUGGACCCGUUACCCGGGUUGCGGACAGUGUCUGGUGGGUAGUUUGACUGGGGCGGUCUCCUCCUAAAGAGUAACGGAGGAGCACG
Molecule: ribosomal RNA, 1056 nt
Filed under: Salmonella enterica
Lineage: Bacteria; Pseudomonadati; Pseudomonadota; Gammaproteobacteria; Enterobacterales; Enterobacteriaceae
Description: partial 23S ribosomal RNA
Rfam family: Bacterial large subunit ribosomal RNA
Source: RNAcentral